RNAcentral lists this ribosomal RNA (504 nucleotides) under uncultured bacterium. RNAcentral describes it as "bacterial SSU rRNA". It matches the Rfam family "Bacterial small subunit ribosomal RNA", at positions 28 to 526 of the family's 1533-position model. The record is from RNAcentral.
GACGAACGCUGGCGGCGUGCUUAACACAUGCAAGUCGAACGAAGCACUACUAGUUGAUUCCUUCGGGAUGAAGCAGGUAGUGACUGAGUGGCGGACGGGUGAGUAACGCGUGAGUAACCUGCCUUUCAGAGGGGGACAACAUUUGGAAACGAAUGCUAAUACCGCAUAACAUAUCUUUGUGGCAUCGCAGAGAUAUCAAAGGAGUUAAAUCCGCUGAAAGAUGGACUCGCGUCCGAUUAGCUAGAUGGUGAGGUAAUGGCUCACCAUGGCGACGAUCGGUAGCCGGACUGAGAGGUUGAUCGGCCACAUUGGGACUGAGACACGGCCCAGACUCCUACGGGAGGCAGCAGUGGGGAAUAUUGCACAAUGGGGGAAACCCUGAUGCAGCGACGCCGCGUGAAGGAAGAAGUAUUUCGGUAUGUAAACUUCUAUCAGCAGGGAAGAAAAUGACGGUACCUGACUAAGAAGCCCCGGCUAAUUACGUGCCAGCCGCCGCCGUAAUAC